GCUGCUCUGUGCUGCACUGAUGAGUCCAAACUGUAAACUACAGAGACUGGGCACAACAAAGAAAAGCAGGAUAAACCCUCAUGAGUCUUAGGGUUGCCAGGUUUGUGGUUCUUGACCAGAAUGUAAGUUUUCAGUAGAGUCUGCAGUAUCAGGUCACAGGUGAUGACUGAAUGCUGAAUGCAUGAUUGACAUUGUAAAAUGUUGACCACUUCAGUACAGUAGUAUGUUUCACGUUGAUCAUAACAUAACAAAAAUGACA
This is a long non-coding RNA of Anguilla anguilla (European eel), 259 nucleotides long. RefSeq lists it as uncharacterized. The transcript is spliced from 2 exons. The record is from RefSeq and is a predicted model, not a curated record. NCBI's taxonomy places the organism in Eukaryota, Metazoa, Chordata, Actinopteri, Anguilliformes, Anguillidae.